AACGAACGCUGGCGGCAGGCCUAACACAUGCAAGUCGAGCGAGGACUUCGGUCCUAGCGGCGGACGGGUGAGUAACGCGUGGGAACGUGCCCUUUGCUUCGGAAUAGCCCUGGGAAACUGGGAGUAAUACCGGAUGAGCCCUUUGGGGGAAAGAUUUAUCGGCGAAGGAUCGGCCCGCGUUGGAUUAGGUAGUUGGUGGGGUAAUGGCCUACCAAGCCGACGAUCCAUAGCUGGCUUGAGAGGAUGAUCAGCCACACUGGGACUGAGAAACGGCCCAGACUCCUACGGGAGGCAGCAGUGGGGGAUCUUAGAAAAUGGGGGGAACCAUGAUGGAGCUAUGCCGGGUGAGCGAUGAAGGCCUGAGGGUUGUAAAGCUCUUUCAGCUGGGAAGAUAAUGACGUUACCAGCAGAAGAAGCCCCGGCUAACUCCGUG
Molecule: ribosomal RNA, 433 nt
Filed under: uncultured bacterium
Lineage: Bacteria
Description: partial 16S ribosomal RNA
Rfam family: Bacterial small subunit ribosomal RNA
Source: RNAcentral